GAUGAACGCUGACAGAAUGCUUAACACAUGCAAGUCUUUGGCGAAGCUGUGCUUGCACAGCCUAGCCAAGGCGGACGGGUGAGUGACGCGUAAGGAACUUGCCCUGCAGUCAGGGAUAACAGACGGAAACGACUGAUAAGACCUGGUAAAGUCAGGCGGACUCAUGUCCAGCCUGAUGAAAAGAGAUGCUGCAGGAGAGCCUUGCGUCCUAUUAGCUUGUUGGUGGGGUAACGGCCCACCAAGGCGAUGAUAGGUAGCCGGCCUGAGAGGGUGGACGGCCACAAGGGGACUGAGAUACGGCCCUUACUCCUACGGGAGGCAGCAGUGGGGAAUAUUGGACAAUGGGGGCAACCCUGAUCCAGCAAUUCUGUGUGCACGAUGAAGGUUUUCGGAUUGUAAAGUGCUUUCAGCAGGGAAGAAAAAAAUGACGGUACCUGCAGAAGAAGCGACGGCUAAAUACGUG
This 463-nucleotide ribosomal RNA is filed under the name uncultured bacterium. RNAcentral describes it as "partial 16S ribosomal RNA". It matches the Rfam family "Bacterial small subunit ribosomal RNA", at positions 28 to 507 of the family's 1533-position model. The record is from RNAcentral.